This is a long non-coding RNA of Brassica rapa (field mustard), 7523 nucleotides long. RefSeq lists it as uncharacterized. NCBI's taxonomy places the organism in Eukaryota, Viridiplantae, Streptophyta, Magnoliopsida, Brassicales, Brassicaceae. The record is from RefSeq and is a predicted model, not a curated record.
UCAAUAAUUAUAUAUUCCAAUUAUUUUCAUAAUUCUAUUAUUCAAAAUUUAAAUAAUAAAUAGAAAUUCAUAUUCCACAGGAGCAGCUAGUAUUAUGUACUAAAUGUUUUGGAAUUUUUUUGAAAGAUCAAUAUAUAUAGUUGUAACUUCCUUCAAUUGUAUUUAAGAAGUUUAUAAAUUUGAUAGAAAAUGAGAAUAAAACCACUGUAGCUGUUUAACUGAAAUUUAAAUGUUGUAAGUACUUUGUAAAUUAAAUAAAAUAAAAAUACAUCACUUCAAAAUAUAUUAUAAAUUAUAUAAAUUCAUAUUAAAUUAAUUAAUUAACAUAAAAAUUAACAAUUUUCACCAUUCUCAGACUUGACCGAUUCAAAAUAUAACAUAAUUGUUUAAGAUAAUAAGAUAAUGUACUGUAAUCCAUAAGGGUGUGGGACUUCUCAAGCACUAAAAUUUUAUAAUAAAAAUUAAUAUAUAAAUUUUGUAUAAAUAUAACCAAAACAUUGUUAUGUUUCCACCAUAAACUUAAUCGCUAAUUAUUCUUAACCAUUCACAACAUUUUGAUAUGGUUUUAUCACUUUACUUGUAAAACACAUUUGCAUUAUAUAAUCUAUAUCUUGUAUACAUCAAAUUAUUUAACAUGAACAAGUUGAAAGCCAAAGUUUAGAUUAAUUAAUAUAUAAGCCAAGAAAAAUUGAUUUUUUAUUUGUUAUAAAAUAAUUUAUUUAAUAUAUGAAUGAUAAAACUAAUUUUUUUUCUAAACAAAUAAUAUAUCAUAGUUACACCAUUACUAAUUACAUAUUUUUUUAUUGUACAAUAACUGAAAACACAUAACUUGGUGUUUAUGCAUCUUACAGGAGACAAUAUAUUAUUGAUAUGAACAAGGUUAUUGAUGAGAAAGCUUUUUCAUUGAAUUUUAAGAUGAGGCUUCAAUAAUGCUUCAAUAAGGUGAUUGCAAUUCCCAAAUCCUAGGGUUUUCUCCGGCGAGGGAGAUGGAGUCGAGGGAGACUCAAGAUGAUCCUUCGGCUCAAAUUGUUCCGGCGAUGCAAAGAUCAUGGGUUGCGGUGGCGAAACAGAAGAAGACAUUGAAAAAUUACGAUCUGGAGAUCUCAAUCUCGGAAGGGAAGCAGUCGGUAAAUGUCCCAUCUGAGAUUGUUGAGAAGGCGAAUCCACUCUGGGAUGACUAUGUGAUAGCUCGAUUCCUGGAAUUAGCUCCACACCUUGAGAAAGUUUAUGUGAUUUUAUACAAGAUCUGUAAGUUUGGUGAGAAGUCGAUGAAGAUUGAUGUUUAUGAAUUGGAUGCGGUGACGAUGAGAAUCAGGAUUCCAAGUGAGGUGAUAAGAGAGAAGAUAGUAAAGCGGGGUAUGUGGAACAUCGCUGGAAUUCCUAUGGUGGUUUCUAAGUGGUCUCUAGUGGUUGAUAAAUCAGAAGGGAAGCUUACUCCACUAUGGGUUCACCCAAGCAAGGUCCCAAUUAGUAUGUACUCAUGGGAGGGAUUGAGUUUCAUUUCUAGUGUGGCUGGUAAACCAGACAAGCUGCACCCGGAGACGUUAGCAUGUUCGAACUUUGAGGUGGCUAAGGUGUGUGUCAAAGCAGACUUAUCGAAGCAGCUGCCAAAGAAUAUGAAUUUCAAAAUAGGGGAUGAAGAAGUAAUGGUCUGAAUUCACAUACCCAUGGUUACCUUCGAAAUGUAUAAACUGUGGGAAAUGGGGGCACUCGGAAAUAAUCUGUAAAAUGGGAAAGAUAGAGGAAGGUGAAAUACAAGAAGUGAUGGAGAUAUCAGAGAGAAAAAAGGAAAACGAAAAUGAUGUUGUAGGAAAGGAGGAAAACAAAGAAGAAAUGGAGGUUGUCAAAGUAUUAGAGGUUGGAAAAGAGUUGGAGGAAGUUAGAGAGUUGGAAGAAGGUAGAAAGUUGGAGGUUGAGAAGGAUAUACAACAUGAGAACGAGACGUAUUCUGUGGUGGAAUCAAGAGACGUAGAUAAGCUGGGGAAGAGUACUUCAAAUGAGGAAGUUGGGGGAGAGAAAGAUGAGAGUUGGACACAUGCUGCAGAAAAAACAAGUAAGAGCCCAUGGAAUUCACCGAAAGAAUUAAAAUUUGGUCAGGUAAAAAUAACUCCUUCGAGGUAUGCUGCUCUAAGUAGUUUGGAGGAAAGUAGAGAGGAAGUUAAAAUGCAGGAAACAGUUAAGGAGUAUGAAAGUAGAGGAGGUUCUGGAGGGGAGGAGGUGGUCGAUAUUGAGAAGCCAAAGGUAGCAGGUUCUGAAGGUGGGAGACAGAUACUACCUAGGAACUCAAAGACAUAUCACCGGGUCCUUUCAGAAUUGUAAAUCAAAGAAGUGAAAUUGGUGUUACGACAAGGGGGUUCUCGAAAGCAUCACUAAUGGCGGGUUUCUUCUGGAACAUAAGGGGCUUCAACAAAUCUAUUAAGCAAGAGGUGGUUCAUAACUGGAGUAGAAACAAUAAUAUGCAGUUUGGAUGUUUGAUUGAGACAAGGGUAAAAGAGAGAAAGGCGGGUAAGAUAAUCAAUGAAGUUUUUGCUGGAUGGGAUAGUAUAACAAACUAUGACUAUCACAAUUUGGGGAGAAUUUGGGUUGUCUGGAAGCAGAGUGAGAGGAUGAGCCAUGUUUACAAAAGCAGUCAGAUCAUCACUUGCUCAGUUUUGAUGGAAUGAGUAGAAGAGGAAUUUCUUUGUUCUUUUAUCUAUGCAGCAAAUGGUAUGGAGGAUAGGAAGGAGUUAUGGGAUGAUUUGAGAAGUCACUAUGAUGCACCGAUGUUCAGGGAUAAAAAUGGAUGAUAAUGGAGGAUUUCAAUGAGAUAUUAGAUAUUGAGGAGCAUUCUGAGUUCGAAACUUCUCCGAGAUUGCCAGUGGGUAUGCGAGACUUUCAAGAGGUUGCUAGUUACUGUGGUUUGAUUUACAUGGUGCAAUAAGAGGGAAGAUGGAUUAAUCUGUAAGAAAUUGGACAGAUUGUUGAUAAAUGAGAGUUAGCUUCAUUCUUCGAGAACUUACUGUGUAUUUGAACCUGGUGGUUGCUCAGAUCACUUGAGGUGUAGAAUACAGCUAUAUGUUGAGGAAACAAAGAAGAGGAAGCCAUUUAAGUUCACAAAUUGUAUAGCCAAGAUGCCUGAAUUCAUUCCUUCGAUGGAAGAGCAUUAGAAAGGUAAUGAAGCACCGUUUCACUCAACAGCUGCUAUGUUCAAGCUCACCAAACAACUGAAAGCUCUAAAACAGCCUUUAUGUUCACUUUGCAAGGAGAAGUUAGGAGAUCUGCCUAAGAGAACUAGAGAAGCUUUGAACGUCUUAUGUGAGAAACAAAAAGCCACCCUGGAGCAGCCAUUGGCCAAUGCUAUUCGUGAAGAAGCAACAGCUUAUGAGAGGUGGCAAUGGCUAGCAUAUUUGGAGGAAGAAUUUUAUAAACAAAGAUCGAAGCUUCAUUGGCUUGAAGUGGGUGAUGGUAAUAAUAGGGUCUUCCACAAUGCGGUAAAUAUUAGAGAAGUGAGGAAUGUUAUAAGAGAAGUCAAGAGAGUGGAUGGUACACUAGCAAAGACUGAUGAGGAAAUAAAAGCUGAAGCGGAGAAUUUCUUUUCACAAUUUAUGACAGCUGUUCCUGAGGAUUUUGAAGGGGUCACGGUUGAAAGGCUGCAAGAGUUAUCGGGGUUUCAGUGUAGUGAGAUCGAUUGUGAGAAGCUAGUGAAGGAGGUGACAAAAGAUGAGAUCAAAGCAAUUCUCUUUAAGAUGUCAGGACACUAGUCACCAGGGCCAGAUGGGUAUACUUCAGAAUUCUUUAAAGUGGCUUGGCAGAUUAUUGGGGAUGAUGUUACCAUUGCUAUCCAUUCUUUUUUUUUCUCAAGGGAUUCUUGCCUAAAGGACUCAACUCAACCAUAUUGGCUCUGGUUCCUUAAACAGAAGAAGCGAAGGUAAUGAAGGACUAGAGGCCAAUAUCAUGCUGCAAUGUGUUAUACAAGAUAAUUUCGAAGCUCAUUGCCAACAGGUUAAAAGGUGUCUUGCCCAAGUGUAUAUCGCUGAAUCAAUCUGCUUUCAUUAAGGAGAGGUUAUUGAUGGAGAAUGUGCUAUUGGCAACAAAAAUUGUGAAAGAUUAUCAUAGAGAAGACAUAUCUCCGCGGUUUGCUAUGAUGAUUGAUAUAUCAAAAGCGUUUGAUUCUGUACAAUGGUCCUUUCUACUCAGCACACUUAAGGCGCUUGGUAUUCCAGAGAAGUUUAUUAAAUGGAUUUCGCUAUGUAUUAUGACAAUUUCAUUAUCGGUUCAAGUCAAUGGAGAGUUGGCUGGGUACUUUCAAACCAAAAGAGGUCUGCGUCAAGGAUUCUCUUUAUCUCCCUACUUCUUUGUUAUCUGCAUGAAUGUGCUAUCAAAGAUGCUGGAUGAAGCAGCCUCAAGAAAUCUAAUUGGAUUCCACCCAAAAUGCAAAAACAUAGGUAUCACUCACCUAUGCUUUGCAGAUGACUUAAUGGUGUUUAUUGAACGCACUAGAAGAUCAGUUGAAGGGAUAUUGAAAGUAUUUGAGGAGUUUAAUAGAAUGUCUUGUCUGAAGAUUAGCUUGGAAAAGUCUACCUUGUUUAUGGCUGGUUUUUUAGAUCAAAAGAAAGAAGAGAUCAUGAAUCAUUUUCCCUUUGCUUCUGGUAAUCUACCUGUCAGAUACUUAGGGCUUCCGUUGCUAACGAAGAACAUGACAGUUACUGAUUUUUUACCUCUGGUAGAGAAGAUCGGGAAGAGGAUUGGAUCUUGGACAGGGCGUUUCUUAUCUUAUGCGGACAGGCUUCAAUUGAUAAACUCGGUUAUUAUGAGUUUGGUGAACUUCUGGAUGGCAGCUUUCCAUUUGUCUAGUGGUUGUAUACAAUAAAUAGAAAGAAUCUGCUCAGCUUUUCUAUGGUCUGGCGUGGAGAUGAAUGGUAGGAAGACAAAAAUCAGUUGGAAGGAAGUGUGUAGAACGAAGCAGGAGGGUGGUUUGGGUAUCAGGUCCUUGAAGGAGAUGAAUAUGGUUAGUGUUCUGAAACUUAUCUGGAGAAUUCUAUCUGCUAAAUCUCUUUGGGUUAGCUGGAUAAAACUAUCUCUCAUUCGUAAAAGCUCGAUAUGGUGUAUAAAAGAUAACUCACAAAUGGGUUCUUGGAUGCGAAGAAAGAUCUUAAAGUAUAGAGGAAAGGCAAAGGAGUUAUAUAAGGUGGAUAUCAGAAAUGGGGAAAAGGCUUCAUUUUGGUAUGAUAAGUAGUCUUCUCUUGGAUGCUUAAAGGAGUUGUUGGGUAAUGGAGGGUGUAUAGAAUUGGGGUUAACUGAGAAUGCGAAGGUUGUGGAUUGUCGUUACCAUAGAAGAAAGAAUCAUCGGUUCAUGAUUCUUAACAUAGUAGAGUUGGAGAUUGAGAAGUUUAAAGAGAACUGGAAUCAAGAUUAGGAAGAUGUCUAUCUAUGGAGGAAUGUGAAUAAUAAUUUUAACAGUAAGUUCUCAACAGCGGAAACUUGGCAGGUUAUUCGAGAAAAGCACCAAAGCUAUGAUUGGCACAAAGCUGUUUGGUUUAAGCAUGCAACGCCGAAGUAUUCUUUCAUGGUCUGGGUUGCGAUGAGAGAUAGGCUUUCAACAGGAAGUAUAAUGGUCCAAUGGACUGUGAACAUUGAUACUUCCUGUAUUUUAUGCCAAGAUCUGACGGAAACAGUUGAUCAUAUCUUCUUUGAUUGCCCAUUCUCGAAGCAAAUUUGGGAGAAUCUUGAUAGAGGUGUGCUAAAGGAUCGGUUCACAUCAAACUGGUCUGCUAUCAAGAGGAUCACUAUGGAUGAAGGUCAAGACAAGCUCCUCCUCUUUACCAUCAGAUAUCUAUUUCAAGUUACAAUUCAAAGCAUUUGGAGGGAGAAGAAUAGAAGAAGACAUGGUGAAACAGCAUCUCCGCAUGCUCUAUUAACAAAGUUGAUAGACAAGACCAUGAGAAACAAAUUUUCAAUAAUUCAGAAGAAGGGGGAUAAGAGACUUGAAGGUGGAUUACAAUUCUGGUUCUCAACCAGAUAAUACUACAUGGGAGGGAGGAUUCUUUAAAGUUUCACCUUUCUUUCUUUAACAAAUUUUUGAAUAGGAAAUCAUAAGAAAGGACACACAUAGUUGUAACAAGAUUUUUUCUUUUUGAAUUAAAUUUAACAUUCAAUUCCAAAAAAAAAAAUGCUUACGAUAUUACUGACAUUGUGAUCAUGUUUUAUCUUGGAAAAUGGUGCUUUAUAGCACUAUUAUUAUUAUUAAGUAAUUCUCACGUAAAAUAUAACAUUUUGAAAUCCAAUAAAUUAUAUAAUGGCUACCUAGGCGUUAGUUCAUAUUAGAUACAUAAUUUUUAUUAUAUUGUAUUUUCUCUUAUGAUAGUCCUUACAAUUUUUUGAUUAUUAUAUAUAUUUCUUAAGGAAAUCUAUGUUUGGCAAAUAAUAAAAAAAAUUGUUUUUCUUUAUUUAUUUCUCUAUAAAAUAUUUUUUGGUAAAUUAUAACUGUUAUGUAAAUUAGUACCUACAAUAAUAUUUCACUUCAGUCAACAUAUGCCCGACUUUCAUAAUAUAUAUAGAUAAAUCCAUUAAGAAUCGAAGACUAUAUUUUUUCAUCUAAAAUAAAUUAGUAAAAAAAAUAUAGUAGCUACUCUUGCUAAUUUAAGUUGUGCCGCAUAUUUAAUCUUUCAAAGUUACCCAUAUAUAUAUAUAUGGAUGUACUUUUAGGUGGUGAUAUAUCCUAUCAAAAAAUAUAAUGAAAAUUUUGGAACUUUUUAACAUAAAUAUAUUAGAAUAUAAGGAGAAUAAAAGUUGCCAAUAAUUAUAUUUUCAGAUUCUUCGGAUUAUCAUGUGAAACAUUUUCAGGGGCAUAUAUACAUGUUCACAUAUAUGGAUAUUGAUAAGAAAUUAGUAAAUGCUAAAAUUGGUAGCUAAUCAAUUGCUAGUUGAUUUUAUCAACAUAAUUAAUCGUUCAACGUAACAUAUAUAUAUAUAUAUAUAUAUAUAUAUAUAUAUAUAUAUAUAUAUAGAUAUAGUUGUCGUUAAUAGGUAUUUUUAGGUGCUAACUUAUUGUAUCAAAAACGAAAAUGAAUGUUUUGAAUAAAAUUUAACAUAAAUAUUUUAGAAUAGAAAGAAAAUAAAACUAACCAAUCAAUUGAAAACAGUUUUUCUUGAUAAUUCUAAAAUAGUCUUCAAAGACCUAUAUAUAUGUAUAUGUUCAUACGUAAGGUUUUCAAAAAUACACACACAAAGCAUUUUUUUACUGUCAAAGUUUACAAUGUCGGCAUCAAAAUUUGCUAUAUUUUGUAUUGUUCUCAUUUGUCUUGCUAGUCUUCAUGAAUGUGCCAACCUGGAAAAAAAGCCCAAAGGAACAUGCUCUAAAACACCAAAGCAGUUCCACUACACACUGCCGAAGCACCAAAGCGGAUUGUGAGAAGAUUUGUAUUUGGUAGUAUCUGGGGCCGUUGAAUUUUUAUGAAGAGAACUUCUAUAAUUAUAUAUUCCAAAUAUUUUUGUACUUCUAUUAUUCAAAAUUUAGAUAAUAAAUAGAAAUUUCUGUUCCACAG